Molecule: ribosomal RNA, 624 nt
Filed under: uncultured Hyphomicrobium sp.
Lineage: Bacteria; Pseudomonadati; Pseudomonadota; Alphaproteobacteria; Hyphomicrobiales; Hyphomicrobiaceae
Description: bacterial SSU rRNA
Rfam family: Bacterial small subunit ribosomal RNA
Source: RNAcentral
AGUCGAGCGCCCCGCAAGGGGAGCGGCAGACGGGUGAGUAACGCGUGGGUAUCUACCUAGUGGUACGGAAUAGCCCAGGGAAACUUGGAGUAAUACCGUAUACGCCCGAAAGGGGAAAGAUUUAUCGCCAUUAGAUGAGCCCGCGUUGGAUUAGCUAGUUGGUGGGGUAACGGCCCACCAAGGCGACGAUCCGUAGCUGGUCUGAGAGGAUGAUCAGCCACACUGGGACUGAGACACGGCCCAGACUCCUACGGGAGGCAGCAGUGGGGAAUAUUGGACAAUGGGCGCAAGCCUGAUCCAGCCAUGCCGCGUGAGUGACGAAGGUCUUCGGAUUGUAAAGCUCUUUUGGCGGGGACGAUAAUGACGGUACCCGCAGAAUAAGCCCCGGCUAACUUCGUGCCAGCAGCCGCGGUAAUACGAAGGGGGCUAGCGUUGUUCGGAAUUACUGGGCGUAAAGCGCACGUAGGCGGACUCUUAAGUCAGGGGUGAAAUCCCGGGGCUCAACCUCGGAACUGCCUUUGAUACUGUGAGUCUCGAGACCGGAAGAGGUGAGUGGAAUUCCUAGUGUAGAGGUGAAAUUCGUAGAUAUUAGGAAGAACACCAGUGGCGAAGGCGGCUCACUGG